This 525-nucleotide ribosomal RNA is filed under the name uncultured bacterium. RNAcentral's name for it is "partial 16S ribosomal RNA". It matches the Rfam family "Bacterial small subunit ribosomal RNA", at positions 355 to 889 of the family's 1533-position model. The record is from RNAcentral.
UGGGGAAUAUUGCACAAUGGGCGCAAGCCUGAUGCAGCAACGCCGCGUGAGGGAUGACGGCCUUCGGGUUGUAAACCUCUUUUAGCAGGGAAGAAGCGAAAGUGACGGUACCUGCAGAAAAAGCGCCGGCUAACUACGUGCCAGCAGCCGCGGUAAUACGUAGGGCGCAAGCGUUAUCCGGAAUUAUUGGGCGUAAAGAGCUCGUAGGCGGUUUGUCGCGUCUGCUGUGAAAUCCCGAGGCUCAACCUCGGGUCUGCAGUGGGUACGGGCAGACUAGAGUGCGGUAGGGGAGAUUGGAAUUCCUGGUGUAGCGGUGGAAUGCGCAGAUAUCAGGAGGAACACCGAUGGCGAAGGCAGAUCUCUGGGCCGUAACUGACGCUGAGGAGCGAAAGGGUGGGGAGCAAAACAGGCUUAGAUACCCUGGUAGUCCACCCCGUAAACGUUGGGAACUAGUUGUGGGGUCCAUUCCACGGAUUCCGUGACGCAGCUAACGCAUUAAGUUCCCCGCCUGGGGAGUACGGCCGC